UGCCGAGGGAGGAGUCGUGCAGGGCGACGGAGGAGGGCCGAGGAUAGCGCUGUAAGCAGGUGGUGGUCGAGCUUGAACAUGGCAGUUGGAUCUGAUGGCGUCCAGGUGCCGCAAUCAGCCUUCAGAGGGGAGACGACGCAUGGCUACGAGGGGUCUCAGAAGGU
Molecule: non-coding RNA, 164 nt
Organism: Phalacrocorax carbo (great cormorant)
Lineage: Eukaryota; Metazoa; Chordata; Aves; Suliformes; Phalacrocoracidae
Source: RefSeq, a predicted model, not a curated record